Molecule: ribosomal RNA, 226 nt
Filed under: uncultured bacterium
Lineage: Bacteria
Description: partial 16S ribosomal RNA
Rfam family: Bacterial small subunit ribosomal RNA
Source: RNAcentral
GCGUUGUCCGGAAUUAUUGGGCGUAAAGAGCUCGUAGGCGGUCUGUCACGUCGGAUGUGAAAACUCGGGGCUCAACCCCGAGCCUGCAUUCGAUACGGGCAGACUAGAGUUCGGUAGGGGAGACUGGGAUUCCUGGUGUAGCGGUGAAAUGCGCAGAUAUCAGGAGGAACACCGGUGGCGAAGGCGGGUCUCUGGGCCGAAACUGACGCUGAGGAGCGAAAGCGUG